Molecule: transfer RNA, 51 nt
Filed under: Dipodomys ordii (Ord's kangaroo rat)
Lineage: Eukaryota; Metazoa; Chordata; Mammalia; Rodentia; Heteromyidae
Rfam family: tRNA
About the family: Transfer RNA (tRNA) molecules are approximately 80 nucleotides in length.
Source: Rfam by way of RNAcentral
GGGAAGUUGGCUCAGUGGUAGAGUGCUUGCCUUGCAUGCAUGAGGCCCUGG